Molecule: ribosomal RNA, 409 nt
Filed under: uncultured bacterium
Lineage: Bacteria
Description: bacterial SSU rRNA
Rfam family: Bacterial small subunit ribosomal RNA
Source: RNAcentral
GUAGGGAAUAUUGGGCAAUGGGGGCAACCCUGACCCAGCAACGCCGCGUGAGGGAAGAAGGUUCUCUGGAUUGUAAACCUCUGUCCUAUGGGACGAAGAAGUGACGGUACCAUAGGAGGAAGCUCCGGCUAACUACGUGCCAGCAGCCGCGGUAAUACGUAGGGAGCGAGCGUUGUCCGGAAUUACUGGGCGUAAAGGGUGCGUAGGCGGCCUGGUAAGUCAGAUGUGAAAUACCCGUGCUCAACAUGGGGGGUGCAUCUGAUACUGUUAGGCUUGAGUGCAGGAGAGGAAAGCGGAAUUCCUAGUGUAGCGGUGAAAUGCGUAGAUAUUAGGAGGAACACCAGUGGCGAAGGCGGCUUUCUGGACUGUAACUGACGCUGAGGCACGAAAGCGUGGGGAGCAAACAGGA